RNAcentral lists this long non-coding RNA (983 nucleotides) under Betta splendens (Siamese fighting fish). RNAcentral describes it as "lncRNA (ENSBSLG00000020528.1)". Lineage: Eukaryota; Metazoa; Chordata; Actinopteri; Anabantiformes; Osphronemidae. The record is from RNAcentral.
UGGUACAACAUAUCCCGCCUCCUCCCCCGUCUGUGUGCCUCCACAUUCCUCUGCAUUAAAAGUGUACAUACCUUUAUGUCUCAAACGUCAUGUGUGUGUAGACACACUGUCGUUAAUGAAAAACAAAAAUAAGCUCUUUUUGUUUUGCCUCUGUUACUUAAUCUGUGGGGAUGCAGGGGCAGGGGAAGCGGGAGAACGGCUGUGCUGCAGGGCCUGGGCAGCAGCCAAUCAGGGAGCGGGAUUAGCUGGAGGCAGGCAUAAACACGGGUUGUUGCUGUUGGUAACAGAGAUCUGAUUGGCUGCUUGGAGUUCUUGCUCAAUGGGAUAGGUGUUUUAACGUGUGGGUAUUUUGAUCACUGUUAUGAGCAUGUUUAUGUGCUGUUAUGUUCCUUAAUAACCUUGUUAUUCCCCCUCUUUUGUUUUUUUUUAUAAAGAGAACCGGGGGACUCUGCAGGCCACUCGUUUCGCCGGCCGCCAGCUGCUCCAAACAUGGGCCGGGCCUCUCCGCCAGCCAAGUGGUCAGCAGGCCCGUGAUGUCACAGCGCGGCAUGUUCCCGACCCGGCGCUGGCCCGCGCCGGCAUUCCACCGCCUGCUAAUGCCACAUGACCCCGGCGGCGAGGCCGCGGGGAUCUGGACCUGGAACACGGCGGCCCGUCUCACGCCGUGACAGCACCCGGUGUUCUCUGCCCCCGUCUACCCGGUCAGGUGACAGCGUGUGAAGAGGCCCGGUUCAGUGGGGUCACGCCUGGCCCUGUCCUGGACUGAUUGAUUUAAAAAAAAAAAAAAAAAAAAAAUCAUGCAUCAGAUGCAUCGGCCUUAUUUUAAACUUAGCAUAAACAGAAAACUUCUCCAUUCAAACCAAUGCAGCACAAAAAAGGCUGAGCUACAAGCUAGGCUAACAAGCUACAAACAGCCUUUAUGCAUUAUGUCACAUAGGGAGCUGUAACAAUAACAGUUACCAAUAAAAUGUUCUGAACACUCA